AAGUCGUAACAAGGUUUCCGUAGGUGAACCUGCGGAAGGAUCAUUAUCACGUAUCCACGUAUAAACCAUUGUGAACUGUAAAACUUUUUUUUAAAAAGAAGUAGGAUUUUGCGUUAAUUCGCACUAUUCUCUUUUUUUUAAAUAAUUAACUAUUUAAACCUUUAAUUAAUAAUUGAACUGAUUUUAUUUCUUACUCUUCGGAGAAGAAAUUUUAUUACGAAACAAAGAACAACUCUUAGCAACGGAUAUCUUGGUUCUC
RNAcentral lists this unclassified non-coding RNA (259 nucleotides) under fungal sp. Its description in RNAcentral is "partial internal transcribed spacer region". The stretch from base 1 to 46 matches the Rfam family "Eukaryotic small subunit ribosomal RNA", at positions 1786 to 1831 of the family's 1831-position model. The record is from RNAcentral. Lineage: Eukaryota; Fungi.